This 453-nucleotide ribosomal RNA is filed under the name uncultured bacterium. Its description in RNAcentral is "bacterial SSU rRNA". It matches the Rfam family "Bacterial small subunit ribosomal RNA", at positions 355 to 825 of the family's 1533-position model. The record is from RNAcentral.
UGGGGAAUAUUGCACAAUGGGCGCAAGCCUGAUGCAGCGACGCCGCGUGAGGGAUGACGGCCUUCGGGUUGUAAACCUCUGUUAGCAGGGAAGAAGAGAGAUUGACGGUACCUGCAGAGAAAGCGCCGGCUAACUACGUGCCAGCAGCCGCGGUAAUACGUAGGGCGCGAGCGUUGUCCGGAAUUAUUGGGCGUAAAGAGCUUGUAGGCGGUUUGUCGCGUCUGCUGUGAAAGGCCGGAGCUUAACUCCGUGUAUUGCAGUGGGUACGGGCAGACUAGAGUGCAGUAGGGGAGACUGGAAUUCCUGGUGUAGCGGUGGAAUGCGCAGAUAUCAGGAGGAACACCGAUGGCGAAGGCAGGUCUCUGGGCUGUAACUGACGCUGAGAAGCGAAAGCAUGGGGAGCGAACAGGAUUAGAUACCCCAGUAGUCCCUGAGCGGGCUGGCAAGGCGCAU